Argentina anserina (silverweed cinquefoil) is the source of this 2039-nucleotide long non-coding RNA. RefSeq lists it as uncharacterized. Lineage: Eukaryota; Viridiplantae; Streptophyta; Magnoliopsida; Rosales; Rosaceae. The transcript has 4 exons. The record is from RefSeq and is a predicted model, not a curated record.
CAAUUAUAUGUGGAGGACAGACAAGCAGCAUCCACUCCAUUACUGUGACAAUCUACAAAUGGGAAGUUUAAAGUUCAAACAUUUUUCCCAGAGGAAGUACAGUAGGAAACAGAGAAAGACAAAAAAAAUCCCCAUCGAAUCCAAUCACUUAGCAAGCCAUUAGGAGUACAACUACACAUUAUUCAGAUAUAAGCCAACACUCCCAACUCCAAGAAACAAAAAUAACAUUGAAUUGCAAAGUAGUCAACAAUGGCAAGAAACAGAGAAAAAAAACAUUAAAAGUUCUCAGUUUCUUACCACAUCGCCUCGAGAAAUUCCAAGUUUCGCAAGAGAAGAAGCAAGUCUGGUGCAUCGUUCAAGUGUCUCUUUCCAAGUGUAAACGAUGUUUCCAUACACAACAGAUGGUCUGUCCCUGUAGACUAUGGUUGAGCGCUCGAAGAGCUGAUAGGAGAAAGAGGAACAUAGUUGGCCGCACACUUAAUUCCACCCUCCAUCAACGGCACAAUGGCAGCACAACAACCUAAGUAUAACGUGUCUAUCUGAAAAUUUGGUCCUCCAGGAAUCUAGACUUGUAUAAGGAUCAAGGCUCAAUCGCGGAAACUUUCCAACUCUUCACUAUAAGUCUAGCCAGAAUAGAAUAGCUGCACAAAGAGCAAUACCAGGAAAGAAACUAACACAGGUUUAAGGUAUGUGUAAUAGUAAAAACUAAGAAGAAUGUCUAUACUAUGCUAAAGGGUCAAGUCAUUGCCAAAAGAAUCUAUAGAUUUUCCAAUUCGUAUACUGCUUUAAACAUUAGAAUCAUCAAAUUGAAAAUGGCAAUUGUACGUGUCCAUCACCAUCGGUAUAUAUGCAGACAAGAGUAAGCUAACGACUCGAAAACAAUAAUUAAACAAAAUGGAAGCUAAAGAAGCACUCACCUCGUCGAAUUCUCACACGAAAUCGAGCCCAGAGUGCGAUUCGAUCAUCAGCGAUUCAACCAAACACAAUCUCAAGGAAUUCAGUUUCUUACCCUCAUAAAUCCUGGGGCUCCACGUGGUCCUUAUUCUUCACCGUCAUCCCCAUCUACAUUGCCGCCGCCGUCACACUCAACCUCAUCCUCACCCUCUUCCGCCGCCGCCAUCCGGUCCCCCUCGGCCCAAUCCCGGCAGCGCAUAGCCUCCUGAUGGGUAGUUGCUAGGCCGGAGAUUGAAGUCGCUUCGCGUCGCUCCACCGCUCGCUCCGUCGCUCCGGCGGUAGCCUUUCCAUCGCCUUGCCUGGGUUUGAAGCUGCGGAGCUUUUCUCCUUCGCUCCGCCCAAAGGCACACACCGGCGACGCCUCGGCGUCGCAUCUGAAAACACUGGUGUAAUCAUCAUCGAAAUUCCCUUGUUUAGCCACUAAUUUGAGUUAGAAGAUUAGCUUAGGAGAAGAGAAAUUGAAGAGGAAUCGACUGAAGGACUGAAGCUAGUUUGAUUUCAUCAAAUCACGAAUUUGAAAGAGGUAAAGAUGAUGCAGCAAGUCCCUGGGCUCGUGUAUGAAGACAAGGAACUGGAAGUUUGACAAGGAUUAAGCUUGGGUGUCCAAAUCAGUUAUGUGUUUAAGAAGAACUCUAGUUUUGGGAGCUUGAUAUUGGGCAGCAGGACAGUGAAGGACUUGUAUGAGUUUGAGUUGUAGAACAAAUGAGGAGAAUGAGUUUGAAUACAGUCAUCUUCUUGGAAAUUACCAAAGGUUCCUUGCAGGUUUCUGGACUUAUUUCACGGCUUAGGAUACGAGAAGUUAGGAGUACAUUUCAUUUGAAUUCAUUAUGUUUAGUAUAGUCCCUUGUAUAUUAUUCCUUAUUGAUGUUUGUACAUUAAACCUCUUAUUUCGAAGUUGAAGCAUCAAGAGCACUGCUAGAUGCUGAAAUAUCAGCUAUUGAGGCCGAGCAGGCUGCUCAACUCCAAGAAGUUCAAAAUGCUAUCCCCCACCUACAAAACCUCAAAAAUCAAGUGGAAAAGGCUGAAGCUGAAGAGAGGAAGAUGUAAAACCUCACUCACCAUAAGACCAUUGCUAUAGAUAAAUU